This 296-nucleotide long non-coding RNA is filed under the name Ananas comosus (pineapple). RNAcentral describes it as "long non-coding RNA (ACOM_LNC028225)". Lineage: Eukaryota; Viridiplantae; Streptophyta; Magnoliopsida; Poales; Bromeliaceae. The record is from RNAcentral.
AAUCAUGAUGCUUUUCAUGAACGGCGUCGUGGAUUCGGCGUGAAUAAAGGUGGUUCGUGGAUUCGGAUCGUUGGCUCGUGGAUUCGAGUGGCGUCGUGGAUUCGGCGUAAUUGAAGCUUCGUGCAUUUGAAGUGGAGGCGUUCGUGGACUCGAACGUGAGGGCGUGGACAACCCGGAGAGUAGCGCGAAGAUUCAUAGGAGGUUAAGAGAGGUUGAGUUCAUGGAGUCGGUAAUCACCUUGUAAUCUUUUCUCUUAGUGAAUUAUUUUUUCGUGUGUUGGUCCCGUGGGUUUUUCU